Oreochromis niloticus (Nile tilapia) is the source of this 2302-nucleotide long non-coding RNA. RefSeq lists it as uncharacterized. NCBI's taxonomy places the organism in Eukaryota, Metazoa, Chordata, Actinopteri, Cichliformes, Cichlidae. The transcript has 2 exons. The record is from RefSeq and is a predicted model, not a curated record.
GUCACCUUAACACUCUUUAAUAUGUUGAUCAAAGAUUUGUAAUCUUUGAAGCUGAUUUGGAGGAUUUUUGACUGACUCCUUCCUUUGACAUGUAAAUCUCGAUCAGCGCCUCAGAUGCUUUUUCGUUCAGCACGCAGGUUUGUAGCCUGGGGUGAGUCUUAACUUGAGUUUCCAUCGAGGAUGUGAAAGAUGUUGUAGCUGCAGGUUGUUUUCAUAAUUAGCUCCACUCCGAGAGGCAGUGUUCACUCCAAAGGCAAACUUGCCUAAUUACCUUCCUCUGCGGCUGAUAUUGCUAUCUUUGUAAGAACCAAUUAGAGUCUAAAUAUUGCAUGGGCAUUUCCUUUAGGGUCUAGGAGCUUCAUGACUCGUUUAAAGGAUUAAAAUUAAGACCAGUGGCUGACAUUAGUUGUCCUAAGAAAAGUACAAGUGUUCCAACAAGUGGAAAUGUUCCUGUGCAGAUUCAAAUGGGCAGUCACGGCUGGUUCAUACCGAUGAAAACUUAACAGCAACCUUCCAAUUUAGGCACACUCCCCAUUGUAGCACUGCUGUUCACUUGUUGCAGUCUAGAGCCAUCUAGUGGCUAAACCAGGUAAGUGCAGUCUACAGUUCUAAGCUGCCCUCGUGUUUAGAGCUCAAAUUUAAAGAAUAAAGCAGCAAAAAUGUAAUUCUCUCUUAGUUUAUGUAAUUAAAUCAAUUGUUACUGAGAUUCAUUUUAUGCCACUGAUUUAUUGUUUUCUUUAAAUUAAAUAAUGAUACAUUUUAGCUCUACAUUCUUUGCAUGAAAAGAUUUGCAUGAAAAUAAGAGUGAUGAAUAUAUUUCAGUCUAACUAUUGUCACUGCUGAAAAACAAUAUAUCAAAAUCUUCGAAACAGGCAGAAAUUCUGGGGUCUGUGAGCUUAAAGUAAUAUGUGUAAUUAAUCAACUUGUUUUAACAGACAUACAAUCACGCUCAGUCGGUAUUUAAAGGGAGGACGAAAAACUAAAUCCACCUCAUGAUUCAGUAUCUUGUAGAACCAUAUUUAUCAGCAAUAACUUGAAUUAAUUAUUUUCUGCAUGGCUUCAUCGUUCUCUCAUAUUAUUGUGACUGAAUUUUGACCCACUUUUUAAAACUAUUGCUUCAAUUCACUGAGGUUUCGGUGAUUUAUACCGACCAUUAGCUGUCGGACAGGUGGCCUCACAUUUGACUCUAGAAUACUUUUGUAUACGGAGGAGUUCAUGGUCCACUCAGUGAUUCCCAGUGAUUCUCUCCACUGUGCUUGACAGUUUGUAUGAGGUAACAGACUUGUAAAUUAUCAAAUAAUCAAGUACAAAUGAAGAAUGGGCAAUGGCCUUAUUGAUCAGAAAUAAAAACCUUACAUUAUUAAUUAAAUGUUAAAAGGAAUCUACAUUUUCUAUAAAUACAUGUCACAUUCACAUCCAUACAGGGCCUCAUUCUGCACUUUCACACCUUUCUAAUCUGUCACUGACACAAUUAAUUUGGGGUUUCAGUAUCUUCCCAGGAACAUUUGAACAUGUGAACUAGAGGAGCUGUGAUUGGAAACAAAGUGGCGUACAUAAAAAGAUCUGAAAAUGUCAUGACCUUUAAACUACUGUGAUCACAUCUAGAGACACGCAGCAACAACCCAAGAAUAUAAAUCUCUUUUAGGAUGAAGACUGGGUUUAAGGUUAGGCUAAUAAAUGAAUGGAAGUCCUGUGUGUUAAGCUGGCACGGUAAAGUGAUUACUCAUAACAGUGUACUCGAACCUAAUUACACCCCCCUCUGCUCUGCCUUGUGUGGUCACUUUCUGCACACACACACACACACACACACCAGUAAAAGGGGGAACGAGGGACAUCAACACGAUACAUAAACAUGGCAGGUCACCCCUGCGAGGACUGCCAGCCCAUGACAACUUUUUUUUUUACAGCUUUUUGAGCAAAUGGCAGGAUGGCAUUUGACAUCUGGAAUGAAGCAUUACAAGUGACGCAACAUUUUUCUCCUUAUCUAACUCGCGUGAAGCAAACUAGGAAACAGGUUGUUUUUCUUCCUCAGCAAAGAGAGAAGCACAGAGGAUCAGACUGAGUAUGGACUGAGCAGCUUCCUCUGAGUGAGUCCAGCUACAGGAGAGAAAAGUGGAAAACUCCAGUACUGCUGCCUCAAGCUGCUGACGCUCCACACACUGAAUCUUCACUCACAGACUCAAUGGCUUCCAGAUCAGAGGAGGAUCUCUGCUGUCCGGUCUGUCAGGAGGUCUUCAGAGAUCCUGUUCUUCUGUCAUGUAGCCACAGCUUCUGUGAACACUGUCUGAAGAGAUGGUGGAGA